UUGACGGGACCGCACAAGCGGUGGAUGAUGUGGUUUAAUUCGAUGCAACGCGAAAACCUUACCUACCCUUGACAUGUCCGGAAUCCCGAAGAGAUUUGGGAGUGCUCGCAAGAGAACCGGGACACAGGUGCUGCAUGGCUGUCGUCAGCUCGUGUCGUGAGAUGUUGGGUUAAGUCCCGCAACGAGCGCAACCCUUGUCAUUAGUUGCCAUCAUUUGGUUGGGCACUCUAAUGAGACUGCCGGUGACAAACCGGAGGAAGGUGGGGAUGACGUCAAGUCCUCAUGGCCCUUAUGGGUAGGGCUUCACACGUCAUACAAUGGUCGGUACAGAGGGUUGCCAACCCGCGAGGGGGAGCUAAUCCCACAAAGCCGGUCGUAGUCCGGAUCGCAGUCUGCAACUCGACUGCGUGAAGUCGGAAUCGCUAGUAAUCGUGGAUCAGCAUGUCACGGUGAAUACGUUCCCGGGUCUU
RNAcentral lists this ribosomal RNA (470 nucleotides) under uncultured Rhodocyclaceae bacterium. Its description in RNAcentral is "bacterial SSU rRNA". It matches the Rfam family "Bacterial small subunit ribosomal RNA", at positions 910 to 1382 of the family's 1533-position model. The record is from RNAcentral. Lineage: Bacteria; Pseudomonadati; Pseudomonadota; Betaproteobacteria; Rhodocyclales; Rhodocyclaceae.